AUGCCAGAAUGUGGACCCUCAUCUUGUUGGCAAUGGUUUUCCCAAGUACACUGGCUCCUGGUUAAUCCAGAGGUUUUAAAACAAAGCUUCAAGCCACAAUUAUGUGCAGCGCUGCCUUGUGUAGUGACGGCGUGUGUAGUGUUGUGGGAUCGAGACUCUGCUUCGCCUGGAUUCAAACUAGUUUGGCCUGAAAUGAUUCAGAUGAAGCCAAGCUGCGGUAUGAAAGGCUCUUGUUUUUGAGGCUGCUGGAGGUGUUAGACUGUUUGAAUCUCCCAUCUGGAAUUAGGAAGUGGUGUUUGAUCUACAGAGAGA
RNAcentral lists this long non-coding RNA (312 nucleotides) under Anser brachyrhynchus (Pink-footed goose). RNAcentral's name for it is "lncRNA (ENSABRG00000008312.1)". The record is from RNAcentral. Lineage: Eukaryota; Metazoa; Chordata; Aves; Anseriformes; Anatidae.